This 2689-nucleotide long non-coding RNA is filed under the name Homo sapiens (human). RNAcentral describes it as "HSALNT0119990". Lineage: Eukaryota; Metazoa; Chordata; Mammalia; Primates; Hominidae. The record is from RNAcentral.
CUCUCCCAUCCUCACACCCAAAGACAGAACAGCCCCAGCACAGAACAAUGACAAUCAUAGCUCCUGAAAAUGAGAAGCACCCAGUCUCCAGACCCAAGGCAGACGUCAAGGCUUAUUUAUGGCUUAGAGCAAGCUGAUGCCAGUUCUGAUUCAUCAUUACUGGGUGUGGAAGAUGUAUUUUUCAAAGACGACCAUACCAAUGUACAUCCCAUCCCACAUGCUCCUCUAACAAAGUGACCGUGACACUUCUUCAUCAAUAGAUGGCUUCUAUAUUCCCAUCCUUCAAAUUUGAGUGGCUUCUAAUUAUGGCAGAAAUGAUGCUUCGUGACUUCUGAGGCUGCAUUAGAAAUGGCAAUGUAACUUCCACUUGUCCUGUUGUCUCAGGGUGCUUGCCCUUCAACUCAGCCACCACGAUGUGAGUAAGCUCAAGCUAGCCAACAUGGAAAGAACACAUGGAGAGAUCCAUUCGGAAAAGAAUGGCGACCGCCUCACCUCAGCCGAUAACCAGCAUCAACCCGCAGACAUGUGACUGAGCAAGGAUUCAAAUGUCCCAGCCUCCAGCCUUCCUGCUGUCCCAGUUGCCAGUGAGUAGAGCAGAAACUAUGUCUUUUCAUCAAGUCCCACCCAAAUUAAAGAUGUCAGGGAUACAUAAAUAUUGUCAUUAACCUACCAGUUCAUCGUCAUUGUCUCAAUUUACCAAGUUUUGGGGUUGUUUGUGACACUGCAUUAGAUCGCUGAAACCCCAGGCAGGAAGCCCUGGCAGACCUCCAGACUCAGCAGGUGGGAAGCAUGAGAACAUGGGGUGAAAAAGUCUCCUAGCACAAAAUGGGCAAACCUAGACACAUUUCUGCCUCCUGAAAUCUUCCAGGUGUGUCCUGCUCCACCUCCUCUGAAAAAGUCGAUGGCUGGUGUAUAUCUGAGUCACCACAAAGUAAGAUGGCCAAAACUUAAGUGUGUGAAGUCACAUCUGGGCAAUUUUCUUUCCCAUUUCCUCUAUUGUCUGGAUAAAAUGAAACAAAAGAUGAAACAGGCUAUUGGUUUUCUACAUGAGAUCAGCAGGGUUUUUUAGUAAAAAGCCCAAUGUAAACUUACAGGUACUACAAACUGUGUCACCACAAGAGAUGAGCUGCCCUACAAGGACCAGACCCUCCAGCUCAUACAACUUCAACUGGAAAUCGUUUAGGAAUGGUUUAUAAGGACUGCUCAGUAUCAAGACAACAGGCUGUCAGGCAAGGCAAAAGAUCAUACUUCGUAACCAAAAAAGUUAUCAGUUAAAAAAAAUCAGAUGCCAAUUUUUUGGUAGAUGAAAGUAUUUGCCACUUUCUACUAUCUUCAGAUGGCAACCAAAACCUACCAUCAGUCAGCCAAGUGCCUUUUCACAGUGGGCAGGGAGAGAGAAUGAGAAAUCUUUUAAGAGGGUUCCCACACAGCUCCACAAAGCUACCCAAUAAUUCUCAUUUGGCCUGCUGGAAAGUUGUUAAUCUGUCAAAGAAAGAAGAAACUCACCAAGAAAAUAGCUGAUUCUCCAACAUGUAAGUUUUUCCAUAAUCUGACCCCUGAUUUACCAACUCAAACUUACUUCAGCCACUACCCAAUAGAGUUCUAUCAUUUCAGGCAAAGUCUUUAAAAUUCCCCCAUGGAAGGUGGGCAUUUUCAUAAAUUGCUAGUAGACUAGAAAUGUGAACAACCUCUUUAGAAGACAGUUUGGCAACAGAAAAGUUGUCUUUCAAAAAUAAUAAUCUUCCAAACAUAAUAAUCCUCAAACAUGAAAUGUUUCCAAAUUCAAGGAAUAUGGCACCCAAAACCCCUUUCUUUAAAAAAAAAAAAUUCACCAUGUUGCCCACCAAACAUUAAUUUUUUUUUUUUUUUGAGACAGUCUCACUCUGUCACCCAGGCUGGAGUGCAGUGGUACAAUCUUGGCUCACUGCAGCCUCUGCCUCCUGGGUUCAAGCUAUUCUCCUGCUUCAGCCUCCCAAGUAGCUGAAAUUACAGGCAGCUGCCAUCAUGCCCAGCUGAUUUUUGUAUUUUUAGUAGAGAUGGGGUUUCACCAUGAUGUUGGCCAGACUGGUCUCGAACUUCUGACCUAGUGGUCCACCCACCUCGGCAUCCCAAAGUGCUAGGAUUACAGGCGUGAGCCACCAUGCCCAGCCCAUUAAAUUUUUAAGAAUGAAAAGCCAUAGUAAAAAGACCAAUGGUUAACAGUACAUUGAUUAGGAAUAAAUAGGUGGAGGGAUACCCAGGGGAAAUUAGAGCUACAGAGUGUUAAAAGUAUAAAGCCUAACAAAACAAAAAUAAAACAAGCAGCAUACAUCAGAAAGCCAGGCAGGGACAAAGGGAGAAGGCACUCGAUGUUUAUCAUGUUGUCCUGUUAUUCUCAAUCCAUCCUGACUCCCAACCUUGUGAUGGUUUUCACCUCUCUUCUGAACCUAAGAGAACAAAUACUCUUAUGCUACAGAAUUACUUUUCAGAAGAUGGACAAUUUCUUUCCCUUUUGUUAAAUUCAAGAUCAAAUUGAAUGUUUUACUUUUAAAGCCAUGUUUUGUUUGAACUCAGUCUUACACAAUUAUUUCUGCCCAUCAUUUAUCUACCCAUCCUUCUGUUCCUCUCUCACAGUAUGUACAGAGGCAUGGCUGAAAUAAAUGUUAACAUUUGUUAUCUUCCGCUUGAGCUUUUUUGGGUAAUAUUUUAC